AGUGAACGCUGGCGGCGUGCUUAACACAUGCAAGUCGAACGAGAACGGGUUAUAGCUUGCUAUAAUUGUCAGCUAAGUGGCGCACGGGUGAGUAAUGUAUAGGUAAUAUCCCUCUUACUACGGGUUAACAAAUGGAAACGUUUGUUAAUACCUUAUACCUCUUAUUAACAGAAGUUAAUAAGGGAAAGAUUUAUUGGUAAGAGAUUAGCCUGUAUUGUAUCAGUUAGUUGGUGGGGUAAUGGCUUACCAAGACUAUGACACAUAACUGGUAUGAGAGGAUGAUCAAUCACACGGGAAUUGAAAGACGGUCCAGAGUCCUACGAGAGUCAGCAGUGGAGAAUAUUGCACAAUGGACGAAAGUCUGAUGCAGCAUCGCCGCGUGGAGGAUAACUCAUUUCGGUGCGUAAACUCCUUUUAUAUGAGAAGAUAAUGACGUUAUUAUAUGAGUAAGCGCCGGCUAUCACCGUGCCAGACGCCGCCGUAA
This 484-nucleotide ribosomal RNA is filed under the name uncultured bacterium. RNAcentral describes it as "partial 16S ribosomal RNA". It matches the Rfam family "Bacterial small subunit ribosomal RNA", at positions 29 to 523 of the family's 1533-position model. The record is from RNAcentral.